UGGGGAAUUUUGGACAAUGGGCGCAAGCCUGAUCCAGCAUGCCGCGUGAGUGAAGAAGGCCUUCGGGUUGUAAAGCUCUUUUGUCAGGGAAGAAACGGUAUCUCCUAAUACGGGGUGCUAAUGACGGUACCUGAAGAAUAAGCACCGGCUAACUACGUGCCAGCAGCCGCGGUAAUACGUAGGGUGCAAGCGUUAAUCGGAAUUACUGGGCGUAAAGCGUGCGCAGGCGGUUAUAUAAGUCAGAUGUGAAAUCCCCGGGCUCAACCUGGGAACUGCAUUUGAGACUGUAUGGCUAGAGUGUGUCAGAGGGGGGUAGAGUUCCACGUGUAGCAGUGAAAUGCGUAGAUAUGUGGAGGAAUACCGAUGGCGAAGGCAGCCCCCUGGGAUAACACUGACGCUCAUGCACGAAAGCGUGGGGAGCAAACA
Molecule: ribosomal RNA, 426 nt
Filed under: uncultured Undibacterium sp.
Lineage: Bacteria; Pseudomonadati; Pseudomonadota; Betaproteobacteria; Burkholderiales; Oxalobacteraceae
Description: bacterial SSU rRNA
Rfam family: Bacterial small subunit ribosomal RNA
Source: RNAcentral